GGGAUGUGAUGAGCGGUCAGAAUAUUGCAAUAAAAAAUGCAAUAUGGGUGUCUAGCCCAAGCCUGUUACGACAACAUAGGCGCUCUCGUUUUUAACCAAUCUGAUCCC
Molecule: non-coding RNA, 108 nt
Organism: Daucus carota subsp. sativus
Lineage: Eukaryota; Viridiplantae; Streptophyta; Magnoliopsida; Apiales; Apiaceae
Source: Rfam